Long non-coding RNA from Nematolebias whitei (Rio pearlfish), 694 nucleotides. RefSeq lists it as uncharacterized. The transcript is spliced from 3 exons. The record is from RefSeq and is a predicted model, not a curated record. NCBI's taxonomy places the organism in Eukaryota, Metazoa, Chordata, Actinopteri, Cyprinodontiformes, Rivulidae.
GGCAGGGAGGAGGUUCAGAAGGUCCCACUGACCGGUCUGAGGGAUCUGUUCUUCCCUGUGGAAGGUCUUGGACCACCGCAGCACUUUUCCUCACUUUCAAACCUGCAAACAUGAUUAUCAGACUGGGAAGACUGACUCCCGGAUACUUCCGCCUCCUGCAGAGACAAGUUGCUGGCGAGGUGCAGGCGCAGCCACAAGACCGCGGCGUAAACCAGAUAGCCAUGAUGCUGGCCAUCUUGGGUCUGAGUUUGUCCUACUACAGUGCCAAACAGAUGACGGAGAAUGUCCACGUCCAGCCUGCACCCUGAGGACACUGGAACCAGCCAACGAACCAACAAUAGGUGGAGGGGAGAAUGAAAGUGGAGACAGCCAUGUCUCUCAGGACCAUAAAUUUAAUCUUUUUUAACUAACAUACACUCAGUUUCUGGGGCUGCUCGUUACUGAUUUCCAUACUUUCUGUUGCUAGGACCUUAAGGGAUUUGACGGGGGAUUAAUUCCCACCGAGAACUGGUUUUAUUGACCGGUUUAGGUGGGUUGUCAAAAACCAGCACACUGCCAACUGUCUGAGCAUCAGUCUUUACAGAGGUUCAGGCCUGCAGGAUGCCAUCAGUUCUGUGGAAACGUGUCCCGUUCGCUGCAGCUGAUGGCGGAUGAGCCGCUCCUCGUAACAAAGUGAUGACAGACCCAGAACACG